UGCAUGGAUGAGCCUCCGUCUUCAAAGCCUCUCCAAACUCAUUAGUUUCAGCAUCAGGUAAACGGCUCCAUCAGUGGCCUGACUAUCCAACCAUCAGACUCCCUUCUCCUGAACUGUUGGGACAGAUCUGGAAAAACACCAGAACAAUUUCCAAAACACAAGGUUUAAAAAACACGGCGAAUGAUUGCAUCACUGAUCUUAUAUCACCAACAGGCCUUCACCCAUGCGGUCUAUUUUCAAACUCAACUUUCUUCCCUGCCAGUUUCUCUGCUGAGGUCAGGUUUCAUGAAACUUUAGCACAUAAUAAAGAAACAAAUUACAUGCAGCAGCUUACAGGCCAUGAGCUAAUGCUUGCAGCAUCUGGCCUGGCUGAUGAAGUUCUUCAACAAGCCAGCAGUUCAGAGAGUACUUUUCAUGGGUUUAAAGGUCUUUCUGUUGAAACAUCAAAGCAAUGUUAGAAGGUUGGACUGAAACGUGACCGAGGUGCUGUGAUUUAAUGUUUUCUGAACAUUUAAGUCAGUUUAUAAAAUAUAGACAUGUCAUUGCAUACAGUGCGUUAAAAAAUUAGUCAGGCCGAUUUAACUGUUUCACUUUUUGUCAUGUUACCACGGCACUGCAAAUUUCUGCGUAUCUUAUUAGGAUUUUAUGAAGUAGACCAACACUUGGCUUUUUACAUUUUUUGUUACAUUCCGACCUGCAGUUCAAACAUGUUUUAUUCUUAUUUUAUGUGAUACGUCUGCACAAAAUAGUCUAAGAUGGUGAAGUGAAAUGAGGAAAAAUAUGCAUACAAAAUAAUUGAAAAGAAGAAAAAACUGAAAUUAGCAUGUUCAUAUGUAUCCACCCCAUUUGAUAUGAGGCCCCUAAAAAGUUUUGGUGCAACAAAUUACCUUCAAAAGUCACAUAAUAAAUGAAGUCCACUUGUG
Molecule: long non-coding RNA, 923 nt
Organism: Girardinichthys multiradiatus
Lineage: Eukaryota; Metazoa; Chordata; Actinopteri; Cyprinodontiformes; Goodeidae
Exons: 2
Source: RefSeq, a predicted model, not a curated record